This 3318-nucleotide long non-coding RNA is filed under the name Chinchilla lanigera (long-tailed chinchilla). Its description in RNAcentral is "lncRNA (ENSCLAG00000026957.1)". Lineage: Eukaryota; Metazoa; Chordata; Mammalia; Rodentia; Chinchillidae. The record is from RNAcentral.
AUGCCCAUAUUAUGCAAGAUGAAACAGAGAUUAUCUAGACAAAGAUAUUGGCAAAUUCUUUGUAGGGAAAAAUCAGCACCGGUUAAGAAACACUAUUCCAGAGGAAAUAGAAGUGAUGUGGAGAGGGGAUAUUUUAAAAAUACCUAUGACUGGGGAUAUAGCUCAGCAGCACAAGUGCCUGCCUGGCAAGCACAAGGUCCUGAAUUUGAUUUCUGGUACAAAAAAAAAAAAAAAAAGUAUUAAAAGUAUCUAAAGUAGUAUUCCAGAAAUAUUAGAGCAAUUAUACUUUCUAAAAUAAGAAUUUUCUGCUAUGAAAAAUGGAAGAAUAGAUGUACAGAAAUAAUUCAUGAAAUAUUUCUUUAAAUUUUGAAAAAUUCUAAAGAAUUCAAGGAUAACUUCCAGGAGAAAAGGAAAAAAACUGUAAAGUAUAAGGGAAGUAAAGAAACAAAGAGAAUCUACCAAGGAAGGCCUAGUUUUGUCUGCCAAAGAUUCUAAAACCAGAGAAAGGGAUGGACAAAUGAGACAAAAUCAUCUUGAGUUGAGUUGAAUUUUCUAGAGUUGAAGAAAGGCACAUUUUCAAAAUGAAAGUGUGCAAAUAAUUUUGAGAACAAUGAGUUUUAAAAAGACCAGCAUCCGACAUAUCCUAAUGAAAUUUGAGACCACCAAAACUAAAGAGAAGAUGCAAAACUUUUUAAAGAAGAAACCCAUAAACUUUGUAUGAUAGGCAUGAAAAUUUCACUUAGAUUUUUAAUUAGCAUCCCAAAUUCCACUUGACAGUGAAAUAAUACCUUAAAAAUCCAGAUGGAAAACAAACAUAAUAAAGAUGGUCCCUGACUUAUGAUAAUUCCAUGGUGCAAAAUCGAUAAGCGUUCAGUAGAGACAAUUUGCACUGUGGCCCUCUGGUGAACUACUUUAGUGUAUGAUCCUUUCUCUUGGGAGGCUUGGUGGUGGCAGUGAUUGGUAGUUGGCAGUUAGACUCAACAUCAGGAGUGGAAACAGCUCAGACUCAGCAGUUUACCAUGUUGCUCAACUAGGAUGUUCAGUAGCUUAAGUAUAUUAAAUGUAUUUUCAACAUAACAAUAUUUCAACUUAUAGACGUACCAGUUAAGUCAAGGAAAAUCUGUACCAUAUGGAAUAGAACAGGGAACACACAAAUAAAAUCAAAUAAAUACAUGCUCAAGAGAUUUUUGAAAAAGUUACAGAAGCCAUUUAAUAGCAGGAAGAUUUCCUUUUCAGAAAAUGCUUGUCCAGUGGCAACAAAAAGUUUCACUUAAGUUUGAAGUCUUUUGCAAAAGUCAACUCAAAAAAGUCUCAGGUCUUACACAAAAGUCAACUCAAAGUAGAUCAUGGUCUUAAAUGUAAAAUAUAAAAAUAUAAAAAGAAUUGUAGAAAAAAGCAGGAGAAAUAAUUUAUUUAGGUCCAAAGAAUUCCUGUGCUUGGCAUUGGUAGCAUAAUGUAUAUAUGAAAAAACUGAUUAAGUGGACUUCAUAAAUAUUAAAUAAAGCCUUUCAUUUUCCAAAAGACCUUUCAAAAAGAUAAAAAGAUAAAUUACAGCUUGGGAGAAAAUAUUUUUAAAUCACAAUAAUUGACCUAGAACUAAUAUUUCAAAACCAGAAGUUAAAAUAACAACAAUAAAUCCAGAAAAUGGACAAAAGAAAUAUUUCACAAAGAAUGAUCUACAAGUGGUAAAAAUUGCAUGAAAAGAAGUUCAUAAUUACUAACCAUUGGGGAAAUGUAAGUUAAAAUCAUAAUGAAAUAUUGUUAUACACCUAUUAGAAUGACUAAAAUAAAAACAUAGUGACAAAACCAAGUAUUUACAAAGAUACAGAGAAACUGGAUCACUUAUACAUUGCUGGUGGAAAAGUACAGUGGUACAACCACUCUGGAAAACAGUUUGACAAUUUCAUUUUUUCAUCAUUGUCUUUCUGGUAGGCACAAAUAGAUGAAGGAUCUGAGAUUUUCUUAAAUUAAUGUAUUUAUCUUCUGUAAUGAUGAAUUCAAACCAACUCCUAGAAUUUUUUUUAAAUUGGAGCUUGAAAAAAUGCUCACAUAUUUACUAGAAAUAAAUGCUAAUUUUCUGGCAAAAGAAUAUACUGGAGGACCACAACUUGUUUUCAAAAGAUAAUGUGAAAGUAUAAUACUUAGGGGGGUGUGUUAUACCAAACAAAGAAUAGAGAGAUAAAACAAUAGGUGAAUAAGAAGAUAAAAAAGACUUCUCCAUAUGAGACCUGUGUAUAAUAUGUGUAUAAUACUAUGUUAAUUUAUGUAUUAUAUAAUAUAGUGUGAUUAAAAAGUAAUAAAAUAGACUAUAUUAUAUGGUGUUAUAUAAUAGAAAGGAAAAAUGAUUAUGAUGUUAGAGUAUCUGAUUACUAUUUGGAAAAUGAUAAACUUAGCACUUUUGCUUUGCCAUAUGCCAUAAUAAAUUUCAUAUGUAUUUAAGGGUUAAAUCCACCCUUCCAGAAAAAAAACUACAAACUAUAUACAUGCACACACAAAUAUAACACAGAUGUACACACAAAGAGGUGUCUUGAGGUAAAUAAAAUGAUACAGUGGAAGAAGUCUUUCUAAGCAUUAAAAUAUAAGGCAAAUAUAAAGAGAUAUAUUAGCAGAAUUGCUAUAUAAAUGAUAAAUUUUUAUGUUGAAAAACCACUAAUAUAUUAAAUGUUUAUAGUAAAGAUUAUAUCAUGUAUAAUAUGAUAGAUGUUUAAUAUAUCUAAUAUAUACUCUAAUAAAUAGCAAAAAUGAAUUACCUUAAGAGAAAAAAGGCAAUAGCCAUGUACAAAUAAUCUCAGUACUGUAAGAGGAUGAGCCAGGAAGAUCUCAAGUUUGACCCCAACUUGGGCAUUCAGCCUCCUUUCCCACAAAAAAUGCUGUGCAUAUUCAAAGGUCCUGGAAUCAAUCCCCAGUAUCACCAGUACAAUUAAUUUUGAAAUAUCCAACCACUUUUUACACUUAUUAAGGAAAGAAAUACAAAUUAAAAUAAAAUAACAUCUUCUAUUGUUAAAAUAACUUUUUAAAGAGACUAUUAUCUGAAUCCUGUAAAGAUUGGUUUAAGACUUAUAGGAAUAUACAUUAAUGGUGGAAUACAUUUCUAUUUUAUGCCUUAACUGUAUUCUUUUUUGCUUUUUGUUUUGAGACAAGGCCUUACUACGUAGUUCAGGCUGACCUAGAGCGCAUGGUGACCCUUUUGCCUUAUCCUUCAGAGCGCUGAGAUAACAGGUGUAUGCCUGACUUGACUCUCCUUUCCAAUCAGAAGGAAUAUGAAAGUUUGACUCCUAUUUUAUUACAUUAUUAUUUAUAUUGGUGCUACAUAAUGAC